This 81-nucleotide small RNA is filed under the name Veronia pacifica. RNAcentral describes it as "Enterovibrio sp. sw014 isrK Hfq binding RNA". It matches the Rfam family "isrK Hfq binding RNA". Lineage: Bacteria; Pseudomonadati; Pseudomonadota; Gammaproteobacteria; Vibrionales; Vibrionaceae. The record is from Rfam by way of RNAcentral.
GCACUGGCAAAAUCCAGUGCCGGGAUUGAGACCCCGUUUGUAGACAUAGGCGCAUAGACGCCAGCUUCCUGCUGGUUUUUU